Long non-coding RNA from Oreochromis aureus, 1624 nucleotides. Lineage: Eukaryota; Metazoa; Chordata; Actinopteri; Cichliformes; Cichlidae. The record is from Ensembl.
CUGAUCUUAUCUCAUCGCUGCUGAGGUCAAACGAACUCAGGGGCCAUAAGAUAACGGCACCCACCUCAUUACUCACUGUGAUUGGCCUGGUGCCGAUGCUAUCUCAAGCAUUUACUUUUCAUAAACUUUAGUAUUUAUGCCUAAGGCAUGAUUCACACAGGUGUCUAUGAGGUUGUCAGUGUGGUGUGGUUGUUUCUGCUUGUGCAGUCUGCAGGGCAAGUGGCAACGAGUCCUCUCAUUAGGUUCCCCAAAACAGCAUUUAUUUGAAGGGGUUGUUUUAAAAUAAAAGUUAAAAAAAAAUAAUAUAUAUUCUUUGUGUUUACCGUGAAAGCGUAAUUGCAUAUCUUAUCCAUUUAAAAAAAAAAAAAAAAAAAAAAAAAUUAAAAAUCUUGUUGUGCCUUGCAUUUUCAAGCUGAAGAAAUAUCUUUACUGCCAUUGAUGGCAGCAUCCUGAUGGAGAAAGAAAGUCAGCACCUCUUGAAGGUGACGCUGAGCUUCGCAAGCUUCUGAUUUCCCAUCAGCUGCAGCUUCUGUUGGUGUAGCUGACACAUUUUACAUCUUGGUUUUUUUGUUUGUUUGUUUUUUGGGGGAUUUUUUUGUAUAUGAACGAAUGUGUUGGGUUUAAAGAAUACAGUGGGAACAGGAAGAAAAGGCCAGCAGUUAUACAUUAGAUUGUCUUCAUCAGUGCUUUCAAUCACCAUCAUCAUAAAAAUGACAUAUUGUAAAACCUCAACUUCCUGUUCAUGCUACAAGAUCUUUGUCAAAAUACUGAAAAGCAUCAGAAAACUGUAAUAUCAUAUUAUUAUUAUUAUUAUUAUUAUUAUUAUUAUUAUUAUUAUUGUGUAUUUUUUUUAAAAAUCUGGUUUGUUUUUGUCCGGGUGUAAUUGCCACCAGGGGGUGAUGUACAUGUACGGGUCUGAGCUGUACAUUUUUGUGACUGAUUUGUGUAUUUACAUACAGUUUGGGCUAACUUUGUGACUAUUAUAUGAAUUUAUGAAUUAAAUGAGUGCCAAAUAUGCUUGAGCAUGACAAAAUCCGGGACCUGCAAGGAGCUGCAGGCACUCUGACUCAUCAGAGCGAUGCCCGAGUGACUCACUGCUGUUGUAGACUCUCCUUGAGUUUUGAACGCACAGCUGAAGGUUUAAUCAUGCUUAAUAUUUUUGAUGAAAGUGCAGGGGGGACUUCUUUAUGUUUUGGUCUCAGUUUGAAAAAGUUUCUUCAGAUAUUUGUUGUAUGUUUCUGUGUCCACCCAUGGCUUAUUAAUGAGUAUGCAGUGAUGGUCUUAUCAUGCUGCCAUUAGAGGUGACUAUAAAAGCUUCAUUUGUUGAACUGUCAAAAAAGGAAAAAAAAAAAAAAAGAAAAAGGUCAUUUGGGUCAUUUUCAUUCUUAAAUCAUUCCACACAGAUGCGUUGUAUGUUAUCUGAACUCCUCUUCAUCCCCAAAAUAAGGUGAGCCUGACAUCUGGUGAAUUUUACCCUGAAUUUUAUCAAAUAUAGAGUGUGGAUUUGUCCAAAAUGUAAAAGUAAAUGUAAUUCUAAUAUUAAAAUGAAGCUAUGGAAAAAAAAAAAAAAUCCAUUGUGCACUAAAUGGUGUCGGUUUUUCAAAAACUAACAAAGCUUUUUCCC